AAAUUAAAUAGCAUGGAUAUCAACAUGGCCUGAUAUAAAAGGGCUAGCUGUGUUUGCCGGGCACAUUGGCAGCAGCAUGAACUGGUUCACGCUACUCGUUGCCCUGGUGGCUUUGCUGAGCUCCGCGAUGGGCUAGCUGUGUUUACCGGGCACAUUGGCAGCAGCAUGAACUGGUUCACGCUACUCGUUGCCCUGGUGGCUUUGCUGAGCUCCGCGAUGGCUCAACAACAAGAAAGGUCUCCGGACUACACAGACCGAUAUGCUGAGCUGGCAUCGCCCGUGCCUGCCAAUGUCAACCUCGACGAAUUAGUGGCAUCCCUAAGAGCUGCUGGCAACCAUCCCUAAAUGGGAAAUCCGUCCACUAUGUUAUUUUCUACACAACAUAUGCCCAUGAAAAUCUG
Pararge aegeria (speckled wood butterfly) is the source of this 401-nucleotide long non-coding RNA. RefSeq lists it as uncharacterized. The transcript has 3 exons. NCBI's taxonomy places the organism in Eukaryota, Metazoa, Arthropoda, Insecta, Lepidoptera, Nymphalidae. The record is from RefSeq and is a predicted model, not a curated record.